CCUACGGGUGGCAGCAGUGAGGAAUAUUGGUCAAUGGACGAGAGUCUGAACCAGCCAAGUAGCGUGAAGGAUGACUGCCCUAUGGGUUGUAAACUUCUUUUAUAUGGGAAUAAAACGUUCCACGUGUGGGAUUUUGUAUGUACCAUAUGAAUAAGGUUCGGCUAACUCCGUGCCAGCAGCCGCGGUAAUACGGAGGAUCCGAGCGUUAUCCGGAUUUAUUGGGUUUAAAGGGAGCGUAGUUGGAUUGUUAAGACAAGGGUGAAAUCCCCGCGCUGAACGUGGGAACGGCCUUUGAGACUGGCUAACUAGAGUGUGUGAGAGGAUAGUGGAAUUCCAGGUGUAGGAGUGAAAUCCGUAGAUAUGUGGAGGAACAUCAGUGGCGAAGGCGACCACCUGGCACAUAACUGACGCUGAGGAGCGAAAGCGUGGGUAGCAAACAGGAUUAGAUACCCGAGUAGUC
This 460-nucleotide ribosomal RNA is filed under the name uncultured bacterium. RNAcentral describes it as "partial 16S ribosomal RNA". It matches the Rfam family "Bacterial small subunit ribosomal RNA", at positions 338 to 795 of the family's 1533-position model. The record is from RNAcentral.